This 648-nucleotide ribosomal RNA is filed under the name uncultured beta proteobacterium. RNAcentral describes it as "bacterial SSU rRNA". It matches the Rfam family "Bacterial small subunit ribosomal RNA", at positions 66 to 711 of the family's 1533-position model. Lineage: Bacteria; Pseudomonadati; Pseudomonadota; Betaproteobacteria. The record is from RNAcentral.
ACGGUAACAGGUCUUCGGAUGCUGACGAGUGGCGAACGGGUGAGUAAUACAUCGGAACGUGCCUAGUAGUGGGGGAUAACUACUCGAAAGAGUAGCUAAUACCGCAUGAGAUCUACGGAUGAAAGCAGGGGACCUUCGGGCCUUGUGCUACUAGAGCGGCUGAUGGCAGAUUAGGUAGUUGGUGGGGUAAAGGCUUACCAAGCCUGCGAUCUGUAGCUGGUCUGAGAGGACGACCAGCCACACUGGGACUGAGACACGGCCCAGACUCCUACGGGAGGCAGCAGUGGGGAAUUUUGGACAAUGGGCGAAAGCCUGAUCCAGCAAUGCCGCGUGCAGGAUGAAGGCCCUCGGGUUGUAAACUGCUUUUGUACGGAACGAAAAGCCUGGGGCUAAUAUCCCCGGGUCAUGACGGUACCGUAAGAAUAAGCACCGGCUAACUACGUGCCAGCAGCCGCGGUAAUACGUAGGGUGCAAGCGUUAAUCGGAAUUACUGGGCGUAAAGCGUGCGCAGGCGGUUUUGUAAGACAGUGGUGAAAUCCCCGGGCUCAACCUGGGAACUGCCAUUGUGACUGCAAGGCUAGAGUGCGGCAGAGGGGGAUGGAAUUCCGCGUGUAGCAGUGAAAUGCGUAGAUAUGCGGAGGAACACCG